CAGUCGCCACGGUAAUACGGAGGGGGCUAGCGUUGUUCGGAAUCACUGGGCGUAAAGCGCACGUAGGCGGCUUUGCAAGUCAGAGGUGAAAGCCCGGGGCUCAACCCCGGAUGUGCCUUUGAGACUGUGAGGCUUGAACGUCGGAGAGGUGAGUGGAAUUCCGAGUGUAGAGGUGAAAUUCGUAGAUAUUCGGAAGAACACCAGUGGCGAAGGCGGCUCACUGGACGACUGUUGACGCUGAGGUGCGAAAGCGUGGGGAGCAAACAGGAUUAGAUACCCGCGUAGUCCCUGUCUCUUAUAC
RNAcentral lists this ribosomal RNA (301 nucleotides) under uncultured bacterium. Its description in RNAcentral is "partial 16S ribosomal RNA". It matches the Rfam family "Bacterial small subunit ribosomal RNA", at positions 509 to 807 of the family's 1533-position model. The record is from RNAcentral.